UUGAAAUUGAAAAUACUAUUUUACCCCUCAGCAACACGCUUUCUCUCAAAAUCAAACAAUUAAUCCGUCUAGAGCCUUUGUCCUAGCGGCAAGGAGCUUAGACAUUAUUGUAAGAGAUGCCGAGUUCGAGCUCUCAUGAUAUCAUUUGUAAUUUCUUCCAUUCUUCCAUUAUAUAGGAGUUUAUUUUUAUAUUUUUUAAAAAAAUCAAACAAUUAAUCCCCAUUUCAUUUCCCCCAAAUUUGAAACGCCUGUGCGCGAACCCUACAUUCAUCGUUGCUUUCUGCCCCAACAAUUUUGUCUCGGAGUUCAGUAGGGAAAAUUCUUGUGUUCAGUGAGUAGUUGAUGUCGUCGAACGGAAUUAUUGGAACCAUUUCUUUGUUGAUAAAGCUCAAGCUAUUGAUUGCAGUAUUUCAUCCGGCGAGGUCACCUUCGGCGUACGAGUCACCGACUACGUUGAUAAUUGUUUGAGUUGGCUAAAUCCCGAGGUAUUCAUCAUUACAGAUCCUUCUUUUAUGUGCAAAUCUAAGCAAUCAUUGAUUAGCAAUUUUAUAAACCCCCCCCAAAUGGCUAAUGAGUUUAAGUUAAAGGCUGAUAUUUUACGAUGGAUGCUUACAUCCAGGGCUGGGAAUCGGUUCGGUUCGGUUCGGUUAACCGACUCCCCAAUUUUCCGAAAACAAAGAACCGGAACCGGAACCUAGAAGGAAUCGGUUCGGUUCGGUUCGGUUAGGAACCGAUUUUACACGGUUCGGUUCGGUUCUAACCGAUAGGAACCGAAUUGGAAAAAAAAAAUUAACAAGUUGUUGCAGGGAUUCGAUCCCUAGUCAAUGUGUGAGAAAAAUGGCCAGCCUACCACUUGCGCUACAAUGCUCUUUGUUUUUCUUAUGUUUGUAGAAAUAAUUAUGAUUAUAUUUCGCAUUAUAAAUUAAAAAUAAUGUUUUGAAUAGGGAAAUAAUAAAAGAAUUUUUGAGGGAAAAUGAAUAAUAGAAAUUGGGGAAUUUUAAUUUCGGUUCCCUCGGUUCUUUCGGGUAUAAUCGAUCGGUUAUCGGUUAACCGAUAACCGAUCAUAGCUACAAACGGGAACCGAAACCGAACCGAUAACCGAAUUUAUCGGUUAUCGGUUAACCGACUAACCGAAUUUUUCGGUUCGGUUAUCGGUUAACCGACUAACCGAUGACCGAAUUCCCAGCCCUACUUACAUCAUUUAAUCUUGGUGCGUAACACUUUAUGUCUCGUUUCUGCAUCAUGAUUUCCACUGUUUUUUUGGGUGGUCUUCACCACAGAAACCGUUGUGUUGAUUUGGAUGAGUUAGGAACUGUUAUGUGCUAUGUAUGUUGUGAUACCAUGCAACAGUAAAUUUUUUGAUGAGUAAAGAAAAGAGUUUGUUGAAGAUGUCACUAAGCUCCAGGAAUGACGCUGCAAUGUGCAUGAUGCUGGAAGAUAUUAUGUGGGUUUAUCGGGUUCAGAUGAAUGUCCUCAUAUAUCGAUAUAUGAACGCUCGUACUAGACAGAAAAUGAGGAGGAUUUUCGAGCAUGCAUGCAAGUUUAGCGUUCUACCCCAAAUCCCAGUACAGUUGCAGCGCUUGGACCGUCUUGUUCACUUCUCAAAUGCUGACUGCAUCUCAAACCUGCGUAUGGAUCGCAACACGUUUAGUCAAUUAUGUACUAUUCUACGUGCACGUAGAGGUCUUACAAUUGGCAAAUGUGUUGGGAUUGAAGAACAAUUUGCUAUCUUCGUGUCCGUUCCACCACAAGAAAAAUCAGGUCUUGCGGACUGCAUUUUGGCGUGUAGGGGGUACAGUUUCCAAUUAUGUGCAUCGAGUUUUAUGUGCUGUGUUGAGUUUGCACUCGGUAUUGUUAUCAAAGCCCACGUCAGUUCAAGAUGAUUGCACAGAUAACCGAUGGAAAUGAUUUAAGAGGUGUUUAGGUGCGCUUGACGGUACGUACAUCAAUGUAUUAGUCCCCAAUGCUACAAGCCUAGAUACAAAACGCGUAGAAGACAAAUUUCAACAAAUACACUAGUAGUGUGUGACCGAAACAUGCAUUUCGUCUACCUCCUCCCUAGGUGGGAAGGAUCUGCUAGUGAUUCUCAUGUAUUGCGAAAUGCAGUGGCGCGUCGAAAUGGAUUCAAAGUGCCCCAAGGUUGUUACUAUUUGUGUGAUUACGCAUACACAAAUAGCAACGAGUUUUUAGUGCCAUACAAAUGGGUUCGAUAUCAUCUAAAAGAGUUUGGUCCCGGUACAGAGCAACUACAUAAUCCCAAGGAAUUAUUUAAUAUGUGUCAUACGAAGGCGAGGAAUGUCAUAGAGAGGGCAUUUGCGGUAUUGAAAAUGAGAUGGGGAAUCCUUUGAAGCGCCUCCUAUUAUCCAAUUCAUACUCAAAUUUGGUUGAUAAUGGCAUGCUUUGUUCUCCACAACUUAAUUCGGCGCGAGAUGGUGAUUGAUCCCUUUGAACUAGAACUAGAUGAGGAUACCACCACCCAAGUACAAGAUGAGGACAACAAUGUGCAUGACUAUGUACAAACUGUAGUGCCCACAACCGAGUGGACACAGUUACGCGAGGAGAUUGCAAUGGAAAUGUGGAAUAACUUCUAGCUGAAUUAAUUGUUGUGCUGUUAACUGUUGUGCUAUUGUUAUGCGGUCAUUUUACUAAACUAUGUAGAACUUGCUUCGUUUACUUUUGCACUUUAAUGAUGCUUUGUUUACAUGUGGCA
Molecule: long non-coding RNA, 2710 nt
Organism: Salvia splendens (bonfire salvia)
Lineage: Eukaryota; Viridiplantae; Streptophyta; Magnoliopsida; Lamiales; Lamiaceae
Exons: 4
Source: RefSeq, a predicted model, not a curated record